GCUACAACCUUCGUCACAACAUUUCUCUACAACCUUCGCUCCACAACACCAUGUGCUGGGUGACCCCUGCUUGUGCAACAGAAUCGGAGAGUACGGGAGCCAGGAGGGCAGUGGCCGCUAGCCACAGAAAAGGACGAUUGGCCAGGGCAGGUGAUGGAGGUGAUGGGUGGUGAUGGGCUCUUCUUCUUCUUUCUGCAAUGGUGAGAUUGCAAGAGUGGAGAACACAGAGCUAACUUCGAGGUAACCGUAUAAUGCCUACUUACGUAGGCGUCCCCGUUCGUCGCGGCGGUUACGUCACUGGUAUG
Ornithodoros turicata is the source of this 305-nucleotide long non-coding RNA. RefSeq lists it as uncharacterized. The record is from RefSeq and is a predicted model, not a curated record. Lineage: Eukaryota; Metazoa; Arthropoda; Arachnida; Ixodida; Argasidae. The transcript has 3 exons.